Molecule: non-coding RNA, 96 nt
Filed under: Bdellovibrionales bacterium
Lineage: Bacteria; Pseudomonadati; Bdellovibrionota; Bdellovibrionia; Bdellovibrionales
Description: Guanine sequence
Rfam family: Purine riboswitch aptamer
About the family: Riboswitches are metabolite binding domains within certain messenger RNAs that serve as precision sensors for their corresponding targets. Allosteric rearrangement of mRNA structure is mediated by ligand binding, and this results in modulation of gene expression.
Source: RNAcentral
CGUGUGUAAAUACAGCCGUUUCGUAUAAGCCAAGAAUGGGCUUGGCGUUUCUACUAGGCACCGAAAUGCCUAUCUACAAGGCGGGAACAUGUCUCA